AUGGCCUCCGCGGCCGUCAUCCCCUCCCCCGCCGGCGUGCACAGGGCCGCCGAGCCUGCCGGCUGGCUCAUGGACGAGCGCGACGGCUUCAUCUCCUGGCUGCGGGGCGAGUUCGCCGCCGCCAACGCCAUCAUCGACCUCCUCGUCGUCCACCUCCGCGCCGUCGGCGACCCGGGCGAGUACGACCACGUCUUCGCCGCCGUGCAGCAGCGCCGCCACCACUGGGCGCCCGUCAUCCACAUGCAGCAGUUCUUCCCCGUCGCCGACGUCGCCUACGCGCUGCAGCAGUCCGGCUGGCGCCGCCGCCAGCCGCCCCCGCACCAGCACGGCCCCGUCGUCUCGCCGGCCCCGCCGCCACCGCCGCCACGCCGCCCGUCCUUCGCGCCCUCCCACAACCACUCCCACCACCGCCACGCCGCCCACCAUCGCUACGAUCCGCCGCGUGGUGCCGGCAACGUCCCGCCUGCUGGAUCCGAUAAAGAUGGACGUGAAUUUCAUAACAAAGAAGGGAAGGGACUGAAGGAAGGGGAGAACGUCGCUGAUGCUAAAGGUCCACAGUUGAAUUCUCCUGUUACUGAUGCAGGCGAGAAAAAUUCUAGCCUGCAAAUUACUGCUGAAGGAAGCAGCAAAGUGGUUCCAACUCCUGUAGAAUAUACAACCAGUGAAAUCAUUGAUGGCAAGCCGGUUAAUACUGUUGAAGGGCUCAAGGUUUAUGAAGGUUUGGUAAAUGUGACUGAGAUAAACAAGAUUGUUUCUUUAGUUAAUGAAACAAAAGCUUCUUCUCGCCGAGGAGGGUUCGAAGUGGGCCAGACUGUUAUUGUUGGUAAAAGACCACUGAAGGGUCAUGGAAGCGUAAUUAUUCAGCUGGGAGUUCCUAUCAUUGAAGGCCCUCUUGAAGAUGAAAAUCAAAGAGAGACAACAAGGGUGGAGCCUGUUCCUGGGUUGCUGCAUGACCUGUUUGAUCGCUUCUUUCGGCAGGGAAUUGUACCUUUUAAGCCAGACUAUUGUGUUGUCGACUUCUACUAUGAGGAGGAAUAUUCCCAUCCUCAGCAACCUCCCUCUUGGUAUGGUAGGCCACUUUGUACCCUCUGCCUGACAGAGUGUGAUAUGGUGUUUGGCCGAGUUAUUUUUGGAGAACGAGGCGAUAACAGAGGCCCUUUGAAGCUCUCUCUCUCUACAGGGUCUCUUGUAGUUUUGCAAGGGAGAAGUGCUGAUGUAGCCAAGCGAGCUAUUCCUGCUACACGUAAGCAGCGAAUCCUUCUAACUUUUGGGAAGUCUGUGGCAAGAAAAGUUGCACCAUCGGAAAGUGCUUCACGGCCUACCGCCCCGUUAACACCUCCUUCUAUGCCCUGGGGUCCACCAUCAAGGCCAGCUAAUGUGAGGCCACAUUCUCCAAGUCCGCAGCACUUCGGGUACACCCCGACCAGCAGCGUAUUUCCAGCACCAACAACUGGAACUCAUCACAUCCCUCCGUCUGAUGGAAUGCAGCCACUCUUUGUAGCACCUGCUCCUGUUGCUGCUGCAGCCAUACCUUUCCCAGCAGCUGUUCCCUUGCCAAAUGCAACGGCAGCUUGGAUGCCAGAAGCUGCCCCAAGGCCUGCCCCACCUAGAUUCCCUGUUCCAGGCACAGGCGUCUUCCUUCCUCCUGGAUCAGCUCACCAGCUGCCCCAUCAGAUGAUACAAACUUCCCAUGCUCAUGCGGAACCUAACUCUCCAAGAGGUUCAGCAGCCUAUGUGCAUAACAAGGGUACUGGCAUGGAGGUGGCGAAUGGUAGUGCUUCUCCAAAGAGCUCAGGAACAACAAAAAGGGCCGAUACAAUCGAGGCAAAACCAGAGUGCAAUGGGAGCUCUAGUUCUGUGGGUGAAGAGCAGCAGAAUGGUGGUAUGAAGAAUGCUGGGCUCAGCAAGGUUGAGCCAAGUGCCGCUAAAUAG
This 1932-nucleotide ribosomal RNA is filed under the name Triticum aestivum (bread wheat). RNAcentral describes it as "partial small subunit ribosomal RNA". Lineage: Eukaryota; Viridiplantae; Streptophyta; Magnoliopsida; Poales; Poaceae. The record is from RNAcentral.